UACGGAGGGUGCAAGCGUUAAUCGGAAUCACUGGGCGUAAAGCGCUCGUAGGCGGUUUGGUCAGUCAGACGUGAAAUCCCGCAGCUCAACUGCGGAACUGCGUUUGAUACUGCCAGACUUGAGUGUCGGAGAGGGUGGCGGAAUUCCGGGUGUAGGAGUGAAAUCCGUAGAUAUCCGGAGGAACACCAGUGGCGAAGGCGGCCACCUGGACGACAACUGACGCUGAGGAGCGAAAGCGUGGGUAG
RNAcentral lists this ribosomal RNA (245 nucleotides) under uncultured Desulfovibrio sp. RNAcentral's name for it is "partial 16S ribosomal RNA". It matches the Rfam family "Bacterial small subunit ribosomal RNA", at positions 524 to 768 of the family's 1533-position model. Lineage: Bacteria; Pseudomonadati; Thermodesulfobacteriota; Desulfovibrionia; Desulfovibrionales; Desulfovibrionaceae. The record is from RNAcentral.